AGAUAUGUAAGUAUAAAUAAAGCCAGAAUUACUUGUUUGUGCUUGAUCUGUUCUAUUUGAAGACUUCAUUUCUAGAUCUACUUCGAUUCAAAUCAAUUCUUCGAACCUGCCACAGGCUUUCCAAUUUUUUGUCAGAUGGAACGAACCUUGACUGUUUGAACAGCUUUUAAACCAUGGAGUGAACCCAGGCUUAAUUUCCCAGUCUGAGCUAGCCCUAGAGCUAUAGCAUAUUAGGCAGAGUCUUUCUGUAUACCUUCCUACAAGUAAAUCUUGCUCUCAUCUAAACCCAACUUUAGAACUACUAUAACCAACGUGCAUCAAAGUUGUAGCAUAACUGCAGUGACCUAUCUCUGGAGUGUGAUUUCCAAUGUGAUGAUUAUUUCAAAUAUUUUAGCUUUGUGAUAGAGAUGGGCAGGUACUCUGAGAAACCUCUUUUCAAGAGACAACAGCAAAGUUGGUGAGGCAUCACUCAUGCAUUAACAGAUCUGAAACUAAUUCAUAAUAGGCCUAUUAGUUGCUCUAAUUGCUUUUAUGCAUGUAUGUUCUUGCAUAUUUGCUGUACAUAAUUUGCCAAAGUGCUUUUAACUGCAGUUUGAAGUCAAUCUGAAGAUAGGCUUGGCCUAGCAAUAUCAUGCAAAACAACCCCUAUGCAACCAAAGUGUAUUUUGUCUCAACUUGAUAAAUAAUCAAUAGCAUGCAAGUCAAGGCAACCCCUAUUACAACCACAAGACAACCUUGAUUAUUACAAAUCUGCUUCUCAGCUUUUUGUCUGAUGCUUUGUCAGAGGAGACACCUCUUAGACAUGCUUAUCCAACCCUAUGAUCUUGCUGUCAGAAAAGAUGCUAAGG
This 848-nucleotide long non-coding RNA is filed under the name Phoenix dactylifera (date palm). RNAcentral's name for it is "long non-coding RNA (PDAC_LNC003273)". The record is from RNAcentral. Lineage: Eukaryota; Viridiplantae; Streptophyta; Magnoliopsida; Arecales; Arecaceae.